UGCAUCACACAGAAUUCCUGACCAGCCUCAAGAUUUGUACUCUGCUGAAGUUUGGAGACUACCAGGCACCUUCUGUUUAUUAGUCAGGCUUACAUGGAGAUCUAUAUUAUCGGACAGUCUUCAUAUCAUCACUAAAUGUGAGGUAACAGCUUACUGAUCUGUGUGAUGUAGCCAUUAUGUAAAAGGUCUUUAAACCACAUGUUGUGAUCCCAGACUAAGCUGAUGGAAGCUGAUGGAAGCUGAUGGAGCUGAUGGAAGCUGAUGGAAAUGUUUCUGCAGAAACAAGAGCUGUUCAGCGUAACACGGCAUAACAUUAGAAUCAUGAAAAGGACAGCUAACACACUUUAGACCCUGGCUGUUGCUGCAGCCAUCAUGCAGAAAAAUCACCCGAGCUGAUGGAGAACCUCCAGUGGCAUACAACUGGCAGAGAAGAUUUGGGUGACUUCCAAGGUCUCCCCAUGCACUGACAGUGUCCAGCUGCCCUUGCUGCUAUUGGCAUCUGCUGCAUGUUAGUUAAGGCUGCCUGCCUGCAGACCGCUCUCUGUACCCAAGGGUACAAGGUAGGCGCUUAAACAACCAUUGAUCAAGGGAGUGCAUGAGUAGUUCGAUUCCUCC
Molecule: long non-coding RNA, 615 nt
Filed under: Phasianus colchicus (ring-necked pheasant)
Lineage: Eukaryota; Metazoa; Chordata; Aves; Galliformes; Phasianidae
Description: lncRNA (ENSPCLG00000021864.1)
Source: RNAcentral